UAAAGGGGUGGCAAAUCAAUGGGGUCAUGAGAUAAGGAAACUCUUUUAACCUUGUUAUCUAUGUUGAGUAGAGCAAAAGCUAAGACAAAAUUCUGUGUGUGUGUGCAAGAAAAAAUGUGUGCCAAGAAAAAAAAAAUGUGUGGUGUAUGUCAUGGGGCAAAAAGAUGCAAAAAGAAACAAAAAGACACAAGUAGAAAGCAAAAGAUGAUGGAAUCAAUGUAAGUCAAUGCAAAAAAUAACCUAGUAAUACCCCCACACCUAUGACAAACAUUGUCCUCAAUGUGUAAGCAUAUAUAAAAAAAAAUUAAGGAAAGAAAGGGAAAGGGACUUCCUGACCUGU
RNAcentral lists this long non-coding RNA (340 nucleotides) under Manihot esculenta (cassava). RNAcentral describes it as "long non-coding RNA (MESC_LNC003332)". Lineage: Eukaryota; Viridiplantae; Streptophyta; Magnoliopsida; Malpighiales; Euphorbiaceae. The record is from RNAcentral.